This 1489-nucleotide long non-coding RNA is filed under the name Homo sapiens (human). RNAcentral's name for it is "PREDICTED lncRNA (TCONS_00258396)". Lineage: Eukaryota; Metazoa; Chordata; Mammalia; Primates; Hominidae. The record is from RNAcentral.
CAUAGUGAGUCUGGGGACCCAAGAUCUUAUUUUCCUUUCUGUCACCCCCGCUUGGUUUUGGAUUCCGUGACAGCUGGACCCGGCUUCUGCGUGAUCUUCAGAGGGAAGGCACCAGGAGUGGACUGCGGGACACCCAGAGUGGACUGCAGGAGGACACAGAAGCUAGGCUGAAGCGGGAGGAAGCUGGGAACCCUGCACGGGGCCACUGCGCACUGGGACUCGUUACUGGUCCCCAAGACUCAGGGAGAAUGGGGAAGAGUGUAUCACAGCCAUUGGGAACUUUCUUCACCCAUCAAAGCCUCAGGGCUGAAGCAUCCUGAACAAGAACUCAGGAGAGUGAAAGAAACAGUUACCUGUCGGCUGCAGCUGGUACCAGCUCCCCACCCCGUACAGAGACCGAAGCGUCCUCUCUCUCCCCAUCACCCAGCACCAGACUCUGCCCCGCGACCUCAGCCUGCACCUGCUUCCUGGCUCCAUCCAGCCUUCCAGCCUCACUAGAUCAUCAUGGGCCACUGGCCAACACACAGGGCAGUGCCGAGCCCAGGCCGUGGUCACACAUGGCUGGGUUAGUAGCUGAAAACAUUGUUUUUCACUGGCCUCACAGUAAUGGCACCUGCCCCCAUUUUCUGUGAUUGAAUUUUUGGAUCCUGCUACCAGGUUAUGAUAGAUUUUAUGGUAUGUCUCAAGAUAUUGAGAUAAAGGUAAUAAAACAGCUAUAAAGUCCUGGCUCAAGAAGUGUUACAAACCCAAGCAGGGUAAAUACAAGAAAACUGCACCCAGACACAACAUAGUAAAAUUGCUGAAAACCAAAGAUGAAUAGAACACUUAACAGUUGGAGGAAAAAAGCCACAUUACCUUCAUAAGGACACCAAUCACACUAACAUCUGACUUCGAAAUAGAAAUAUAAAAGCCAAACUACAAGGGAAUGUGAUCUUCAAAAUAUUGAAAGAAUUUAAUUGUUAAGUGAAAUAAUUAACUGCCAACCUAAAUUCUAUUCCUAGUGGAAAUACUCUCCAAGAAUAAAGGUGAAAUAAAUACAGACUCACACAAGAGAAAUCAAGAGCGUUCUUCCUCAGGAGACAUGAGCUGAUUGGUAUAGAAGAGGUGUUUGAAACGUCCUUAGAGGGAGGGCUAGAGACACAGGGAGGAGAAACCUUCAGAACACACCUUCCAUUGAGGGCCAAAAAAGUCAACUAUCGAUUCUUUGAAAGUGCCCCAAACUCGUAAAUCUCUGGUGAUGCUGACCAAAAAAACAAUGAAGGAAGGCACCCUGUGAUGGGGAAGGAAAAGGGGAGAUUGCUGGAGAUCUGUGGAUAUUAAAAAUAGGCACAUAUACACUAUGGAAUACUAUGCAGCCAUAAAAAAGGAUGAGUUCAUGUCCUUUGUAGUGACAUGGAUGAAGCUGAAAACCAUCAUUCUGAGCAAACUUUCGCAAGGACAGAAAACCAAACACUGCAUGUUCUCACUCAUAGGUGGGAAUUGAACAAUG